CCUAAAUACUUUAGAAGCUGUAUGCCAGUUAUUUCGUUCCUAUGGGUAUAAAGCUCAUGGAAACAUUGAUUCCCAAAACAAUUUUAGAAGAUAAUUCAUACAACUUUAUAGAGGUACUUCCAUAAAUAAGAACAGUAACAUGCAAGUGGCACCUGCCAUAUCUUUCCUUCGGAUGAAGCCCUGGACAGUGUAAGCCACUGAUGCCCUCAAACCCUAUGAGAGUCUAAACCCUGGGAGACAACCUUUGGAAGCCCCUUCACUCCUCAAAACUGUCCUUGCCUCUCUUUCCAUAGAACUAAGUAGGGAUAGUUCUAAAUUACCAACUACCUCACAAAGCAUCUUAGCUAUUCACAACCCUUGUUCUGUUCCUCUACCCAGCCUCUAUCUGAGGUGCAGCCCUUGAAAUCUUUUUGCACUGAAACUCUUUCACUUCUGAAUGGGAUGUUGGAAGUAUUAGGUUGCUGCAAUUACUGCACUCAUGUAAGGAAGAAAGUAUAGUAUAGAAGACUAUCUUUUGUCAUAUGACUUAUUUCAAGAUGGGGAGAUCAAUUCCUGACAUCUCCCACUCCAAUCUUGAAUGGAUUUUUCCCAUUUAAACAAUAUCCUGAUGAGGGAUUGGAUUCUGUAGUACUGUUGUUAAUUCACUUGGCUCUUUGUAAAGUUAAUAAGCUUAUAUGAGCCUGUUUGAAAGUCUUACUACCUUUUUUAUAUUGUUUCUAUUGGAAAAUACAUUCUAAAUUCCAAGUAACCAAUUUAGCAACAUAUUUCUGAAAUAUAAUUUAUUAAUAAAUUAGAAAGGGAACAUUUCUGCAGGUAUUAUUUUCCUUUGCAUUAAAAAGAAAGAUUGGCUUAGCAACUAAGUCCUUGCUAAUUGAUUCAGCAAUAUGAUUAGCCUCAUUAUUUUGUGCUUAUAUUUUAUGUAAUUGCUGAAGGCUCAACAUAAAAUGGUAGGCAAAAGUCAUGAUGGCUUUGAAGUCCUUCCUCCAAAGAUACAGCACUAGGGCCGGGUGUGGUGGCUCACCCCUAUAAUCCUAGCACUUUGGGGGGCCGAGGUGGGUGGAUCACAAGGUCCGGAGUUCGAGACCAGCCUGGCCAACAUGGUGAAACCCUGUCUCUACUAAAAAUACAAAAAUUAUCCAGGCAUAGUGGCGGACGCCUGUAAUCCCAGCUACUCAGGAAGCUGAGGCAGGAGAAUUGCUUGAACCCAGGAGGCAGAGAUUGUGCCACUGCACUCUAACCUGGGUGACAGAGCAAGACUCCUUCUCUAAAAAAAAAAAAAAAAAGGAUACAGCACUAGGUUCUUCUAGUUUAGGAAAAACCUUUACUUUCAUGAAAAUUGGGAACAUUUUUUAAAGGCUAUAUUUGGUGAGAUGGGAAGCUAGUGCCACAUGCUUAA
Symphalangus syndactylus (siamang) is the source of this 1396-nucleotide long non-coding RNA. RefSeq lists it as uncharacterized. The record is from RefSeq and is a predicted model, not a curated record. Lineage: Eukaryota; Metazoa; Chordata; Mammalia; Primates; Hylobatidae.